Long non-coding RNA from Cygnus atratus (black swan), 415 nucleotides. RefSeq lists it as uncharacterized. The record is from RefSeq and is a predicted model, not a curated record. The transcript has 5 exons. NCBI's taxonomy places the organism in Eukaryota, Metazoa, Chordata, Aves, Anseriformes, Anatidae.
ACAUUGGCAAUGGGGUCCCUUGUGUUGUUGAGGGAUGGGUGCUAAUGCUGGCAUCUGAAUGAUUAUCUUCUGACUGUUUUCAUUUGUUAAAGCUUAAACGCAGUGUACAACCUGGGACGUCACACCCAGAGCUGCCUCUGGCAAGAGGUGUUGUAGCUGGCUUAAGAGGGUAGAUGGAAGCAUCUGCCUCGGGGUGUCUCGCAGAGGUUCAAAGGAGCAAACUGCAUUCUGAAGAGCUGCGUGCCAUGGCAGGCUUUCCACACAAGUGGCUGAGGACUUGAGAUGAGACCAGAGAGUGACAAGGAGCAGCACGUGCAGGGAUGGUUUCCAAGCGCUGCGGUUGCUUUCUCUUCUGUUCAUCAGGUGCCACAGGCAAGGUGAAGAGGUGCCUGGAGCCCCAUGUCAUCUAGCCUGC